This 374-nucleotide ribosomal RNA is filed under the name uncultured organism. RNAcentral's name for it is "partial 16S ribosomal RNA". It matches the Rfam family "Bacterial small subunit ribosomal RNA", at positions 527 to 896 of the family's 1533-position model. The record is from RNAcentral.
GUAGGUGGCAAGCGUUGUCCGGAAUUAUUGGGCGUAAAGCGCGCGCAGGCGGUCCUUUAAGUCUGAUGUGAAAGCCCACGGCUCAACCGUGGAGGGUCAUUGGAAACUGGGGGACUUGAGUACAGAAGAGGAAAGCGGAAUUCCAAGUGUAGCGGUGAAAUGCGUAGAGAUUUGGAGGAACACCAGUGGCGAAGGCGGCUUUCUGGUCUGUAACUGACGCUGAGGCGCGAAAGCGUGGGGAGCAAACAGGGAUUAGAUACCCUGGUAGUCCACGCCGUAAACGAUGAGUGCUAAGUGUUAGGGGGUUUCCCGCCCCUUAGUGCUGCAGCUAACGCAUUAAGCACUCCGCCCCGGGGAGUACGGCCGCAAGGCUG